GCCUACGGGGGGCAGCAGUAGGGAAUUUUCGUCAAUGGGCGCAAGCCUGAACGAGCAAUGCCGCGUGAACGAGGAAGGUCUUCGGAUCGUAAAGUUCUGUUGAAGGGGAAAAAGAGCGGAGAGGGGAAAUGGUCUCCGAUUGAUAUUACCCUUCGAGGAAGUCACGGCUAACUACGUGCCAGCAGCCGCGGUAAUACGUAGGUGGCGAGCGUUAUCCGGAAUGAUUGGGCGUAAAGGGUGCGUAGGCGGCCUGCUAAGUCUGGAGUGAAAGGUACCGGCUCAACCGGUACAGGCUCUGGAAACUG
This 305-nucleotide ribosomal RNA is filed under the name uncultured bacterium. RNAcentral describes it as "bacterial SSU rRNA". It matches the Rfam family "Bacterial small subunit ribosomal RNA", at positions 337 to 635 of the family's 1533-position model. The record is from RNAcentral.